GCCGUGGCUCAGUGGUAGAGCCUCUUGAGACGCAGAAGGUCCCAGGUUCAAGCCCUGGUACCUGUAGUUAAACA
RNAcentral lists this transfer RNA (74 nucleotides) under Sphaerodactylus townsendi. Its description in RNAcentral is "tRNA-Leu". The record is from RNAcentral. Lineage: Eukaryota; Metazoa; Chordata; Lepidosauria; Squamata; Sphaerodactylidae.